GUGUCCGUAGCUCAGCUGGAUAGAGCGUGGGUCUCCGGAACCCAAGGUCGGGGGUUCGAGUCCCCCCGGACACG
This 74-nucleotide transfer RNA is filed under the name Aquificaceae bacterium. RNAcentral describes it as "tRNA-Arg". It matches the Rfam family "tRNA". Rfam says of the family: Transfer RNA (tRNA) molecules are approximately 80 nucleotides in length. Their secondary structure includes four short double-helical elements and three loops (D, anti-codon, and T loops). Lineage: Bacteria; Pseudomonadati; Aquificota; Aquificia; Aquificales; Aquificaceae. RNAcentral also lists the same sequence under 1 other name. The record is from RNAcentral.